CCUACGGGUGGCAGCAGUGGGGAAUAUUGGACAAUGGGCGAAAGCCUGAUCCAGCCAUGCCGCGUGUGUGAAGAAGGCCUUCGGGUUGUAAAGCACUUUCAGUGGGGAAGAAGGCCUUUAGGCUAAUACCCUCGAGGAAGGACAUCACCCACAGAAGAAGCACCGGCUAACUCCGUGCCAGCAGCCGCGGUAAUACGGAGGGUGCGAGCGUUAAUCGGAAUUACUGGGCGUAAAGCGCGCGUAGGCGGUUUGAUAAGCCGGUUGUGAAAGCCCCGGGCUCAACCUGGGAACGGCAUCCGGAACUGUCAGGCUAGAGUGCAGGAGAGGAAGGUAGAAUUCCCGGUGUAGCGGUGAAAUGCGUAGAGAUCGGGAGGAAUACCAGUGGCGAAGGCGGCCUUCUGGACUGACACUGACGCUGAGGUGCGAAAGCGUGGGUAGCAAACAGGAUUAGAUACCCGGGUAGUC
RNAcentral lists this ribosomal RNA (465 nucleotides) under Vreelandella stevensii. Its description in RNAcentral is "partial 16S ribosomal RNA". It matches the Rfam family "Bacterial small subunit ribosomal RNA", at positions 338 to 795 of the family's 1533-position model. Lineage: Bacteria; Pseudomonadati; Pseudomonadota; Gammaproteobacteria; Oceanospirillales; Halomonadaceae. The record is from RNAcentral.